RNAcentral lists this non-coding RNA (23 nucleotides) under Arabidopsis thaliana (thale cress). Lineage: Eukaryota; Viridiplantae; Streptophyta; Magnoliopsida; Brassicales; Brassicaceae. The record is from RNAcentral.
UCAACUCUUCAGGAACCAUCUUA